GACGAACCGUGCGACCGUUGUUCGGAAUCACUGGGCUUAAAGGGCGCGUAGGCGGGCCCGCAAGUCAGGGGUGAAAUCCCACGGCUCAACCGUGGAAGUGCCUUUGAUACUGCGGGUCUGGAGGGAGGUAGGGGCGUGCGGAACUUCCGGUGGAGCGGUGAAAUGCGUAGAUAUCGGAAGGAACACCGGUGGCGAAAGCGGCGCGCUGGACAUCUACUGACGCUGAGGCGCGAAAGCCAGGGGAGCAAACGGG
This 253-nucleotide ribosomal RNA is filed under the name uncultured bacterium. RNAcentral describes it as "partial 16S ribosomal RNA". It matches the Rfam family "Bacterial small subunit ribosomal RNA", at positions 524 to 776 of the family's 1533-position model. The record is from RNAcentral.